This 346-nucleotide transfer-messenger RNA is filed under the name Gammaproteobacteria (g-proteobacteria). Its description in RNAcentral is "TMED112 sp003331605 Standard tmRNA". It matches the Rfam family "transfer-messenger RNA". Rfam says of the family: Bacterial tmRNA, also known as 10Sa RNA or SsrA, is named for its dual tRNA and mRNA-like properties. Its role is to liberate the mRNA from a stalled ribosome. Lineage: Bacteria; Pseudomonadati; Pseudomonadota. RNAcentral also lists the same sequence under 2 other names. The record is from RNAcentral.
GGGGGCGUAUUUUGGCUUUGACGACUACCACGGAACCCGAAGUGCAUACCGAGAAUGAUCAUAACUCGUUAAAAUUUGCUCAAAAAAUUAGUUGCAGAUAACUACAACUAUAGAUUGGCAGCUUAAUGUCAACCUGUUAUCAUUUGUGACCUACAACAUUUGAUAAUAGUCAAUUUAGUAGGAUAUAUUUAGACUUUGCCCAAAGUUUAAGCGAAUUUUUAGGGCUAUGCUUAAUGUGUCUUGAUCAUCAGGCUACAUUAAAGUGAAAUUAAUUGAUGAAUCUAUGUAUGUAGAAACGAGGAGGAAGUGAUGACGGACGUGGGUUCGAAUCCCGCCGCCUCCACCA